CCGAGUUACACUCCCAAACCCCUGUGGACUUAUACCUUUACCGUUUGCCUCGGCGGGCACGGCCGCGGACGCCCUCGCGGGGGGGGCCGGGGGCCCGCCGGAGGACCCAAACCCUUCUGUAUUUUCCUACGCAUGUCUGAGUGGAUUUAAUAUAAAUGAAUCA
Molecule: unclassified non-coding RNA, 163 nt
Filed under: Epichloe uncinata
Lineage: Eukaryota; Fungi; Ascomycota; Sordariomycetes; Hypocreales; Clavicipitaceae
Source: RNAcentral